Molecule: non-coding RNA, 29 nt
Filed under: Mus musculus (house mouse)
Lineage: Eukaryota; Metazoa; Chordata; Mammalia; Rodentia; Muridae
Source: RNAcentral
UGAAAUUAAAGGCUGAUGUGAAAAUAUGC